This 76-nucleotide transfer RNA is filed under the name Thermoanaerobacteraceae bacterium. RNAcentral's name for it is "tRNA-His". Lineage: Bacteria; Bacillati; Bacillota; Clostridia; Thermoanaerobacterales; Thermoanaerobacteraceae. The record is from RNAcentral.
GGAAGAGUAGCUAAAGUGGCUUAGCACCCCGCGGUGACGGGGGGGUAUGUGAGUUCGAGCCUCACCUCUUCCUCCA